Molecule: long non-coding RNA, 469 nt
Filed under: Gallus gallus (chicken)
Lineage: Eukaryota; Metazoa; Chordata; Aves; Galliformes; Phasianidae
Source: RNAcentral
CACAGCUGCUGCCAUGUUGUCCUUACUCCCCAUAUUCUUCUGAUACCACGCUGUCCCACAACAGCAGCAGGGAGACAGAGGACACCACCAACACAAAGGACUGGAUGCAGCCCGGCCACUCGUGAGAUCCUUUGCUGUUGUUUUCCCCUCUCUGCAGGGAUGUGAACCCAGCCGAGGCAGCGGUGCCUGUCGCCCACGAGCAGGAGGGCUGUGCUGGAGAGGCUGCUCCAGCAGCACAGGCACCUGCACUCACAGGACAGGACACAGCCUUCCUCCCAUGUCCCCCCCCUUCAGCACAACUACAGACAGUUCUUUUAUUCUGAACAAUGCUCAGCUCAACUGUAACCAUAAAUCACUCAGCAGAAGGUCCAGACACAUCAAGGACAUGUCCAGGGCAAGGAAGAAACUUCCUGACAUGGCAGUGAACUACACCUACAUCUUUCUUAUUCCAACCCUGCCUCUGUCUGCU